CAAAUGAAUUGACGGGGGCCCGCACAAGCGGUGGAGCAUGUGGUUUAAUUCGAUGCAACGCGAAGAACCUUACCUGGUCUUGACAUCCACAGAACUUAGCAGAGAUGCUUUGGUGCCUUCGGGAACUGUGAGACAGGUGCUGCAUGGCUGUCGUCAGCUCGUGUUGUGAAAUGUUGGGUUAAGUCCCGCAACGAGCGCAACCCUUAUCCUUUGUUGCCAGCGGUUCGGCCGGGAACUCAAAGGAGACUGCCAGUGAUAAACUGGAGGAAGGUGGGGAUGACGUCAAGUCAUCAUGGCCCUUACGACCAGGGCUACACACGUGCUACAAUGGCAUAUACAAAGAGAAGCGACCUCGCGAGAGCAAGCGGACCUCAUAAAGUAUGUCGUAGUCCGGAUUGGAGUCUGCAACUCGACUCCAUGAAGUCGGAAUCGCUAGUAAUCGUAGACAGAAUGCUAC
This 457-nucleotide ribosomal RNA is filed under the name Klebsiella pneumoniae. RNAcentral describes it as "bacterial SSU rRNA". It matches the Rfam family "Bacterial small subunit ribosomal RNA", at positions 902 to 1360 of the family's 1533-position model. Lineage: Bacteria; Pseudomonadati; Pseudomonadota; Gammaproteobacteria; Enterobacterales; Enterobacteriaceae. The record is from RNAcentral.